UACGUAGGUGGCAAGCGUUGUCCGGAUUUACUGGGCGUAAAGGGCGUGCAGGCGGUCUGUUAAGUGCAGGGUGAAAGCUCCCGGCUCAACUGGGAGAGGUCCUUGCAUACUGGCGGACCUGAGGGGGGUAGAGGAAAGUGGAAUUCCCGGUGUAGUGGUGAUAUGCGUAGAUAUCGGGAGGAACACCUGUGGCGAAGGCGGCUUUCUGGGCCCUACCUGACGCUGAGACGCGAAAGCGUGGGGAGCGAACCGG
Molecule: ribosomal RNA, 253 nt
Filed under: uncultured bacterium
Lineage: Bacteria
Description: partial 16S ribosomal RNA
Rfam family: Bacterial small subunit ribosomal RNA
Source: RNAcentral